CCUCAGGUGAUUUCAUCCGGGAAGUUCACCGUGCCCCCAUCGCGAGUCCACCGUGCUCAGAGCUCGCGCGUUGCCCCUGCGUACGCCCGAGUCCUACCCCCUUGCUGUGGGAAAAAAUUAUCAGGAAGCUCAAUCUAAUAACAUCACGAAGUUCAUUUUUAACCAAACUGGGUAAUAAGUGUUGCUCUACACUCAUAUUUUAUUUCAUCAUUGCCAACUGAAGCACGUCCACAAACCCCGUGUCUUCACUCAGAUGCACUGCUAGGCACCAUCGACCACAAGACCGGCGCCACAACUUCUCUGAACUGCCCAUGUUGUGGUGUCAUGGGCUGCCCGUGCUCUUUCCACAUUCAUGUACAAGAUGAAAAAAAGACAGACAGAGGAGAGUGAGGACGCCAUGGACCUGUCAUGUGUGGAUGUAGCAGGAGAGUCCUACGCCGGUGUUGCACAUGGCUCGUCGGAACUUCGGAUUAGGGCAUUGCACCGACACAAACAUGGGUGCCGCUGCUGCUGUUCUUUCUUCUGCCAUUUGCGUACGGCAUGCUCAUGCUAGCGUCGUCGUCUCAAUGUAACGAGGGACGAGGGGGUGGAGGCCAAUCCUGUUCAGUCAUUAAUUUUUUGCAGUUCUGCAUUUUUAUCAGCUGCAAGAGGGCAGCCGAGUCUUGUGAAUGGACUGCUGUUGGGCCUUGCGAAUGGACUACCGUCGACCCAGUGAGUCUCCUGACCUAGCUACCUUCUUGUUCUCCCUUUCUGGAAGUUCAGAGAUGGGCAUUUGGUGCAGUUCAUUAGGUGUUGCAUGCGUGGGUUUUUUAAUUGUUCGUGAGAUUUUUGAAGGCCAUAUGACAAUUCAGUUCUUCGUGUCAGAAAGUUCACCUCGUGCAUUCGCGAAGUUCAAAUAAAAUUGAACGAAUUUUUCUUUUGUUGGAAAGUUCACUUGGGACAUAAGGGAAAGUUGAAUUUGUAGAUUGAGAAAGUUCGUUUUAAUCAUCUGUGAAACAAACUAAAGGAUCACAGUGAAUUCAUUAGGAGUAAGUAAAAGUGAAGUUCACUCUGCAAAUAAAAAUGAAGUUCGCUAGGCAUAAAAACCGAAGUUUGUUUCAGGAAGUGUAAAAAAAAUCAGUGUUAUAAGAGUCCUUGCCUGCUUCUCAUUGCAACAGUGUAAUAAAAUCCUUGCUUGCUUCCGCUAUGAGUUAUUUUACAUUUCAGUAUGAUGUCAACACAGUAGCAUUUGCUGAUGAAAGUGUUGAUCUCAUUUAUUCUGGAAGCGAUGAUAAUAUGUGCAAAGUAGCUUGCACUUACAAACUAUUAUGUUCGACCAUAUAUGACUGAAUUGUUUUCGGAUUAAUUCACCAUUUAUAAAAGUGUCCGAUAUGGAUGAGUAUGCUAUGGUAAAUCUCCUCUGUAGUGUACAUGGUCUAUUUCAAUAUUCCAGUUUAGUGUACCCAUGCACAGGAAUUCCCUAGUAUUGCCAAACCUAGUUUUUAUGCGUAUGAUACUGACUAUCAUUUUUCGAUUCCCCUUUUCAUGCAUGAGGGCCAGACUAAUUUAUUUUGAAAGGAACAAGCUAUAUGGGGGCUGAAGCAUCUGGGCGAUGAGGCAGUGCACUUAUGACACCUAUGGGGAGUUCACUAGCGCUCAUCGCUAGAGUUCGCCAGGAGCCGUGGCGGGAGUCCACCUUGAAGCGCAGCACCCGCAGGUCGUGGGUACUAUUCUGAUUCUCGAGGAACAACACUUGGAGCUCUGUUUGGGGUACCUUUGAAGCCAUGGUCCUAAGCUUCUCCAAACCACCCCGUUCCCUGCCUCACUGGCCUCACUCUUGUACUCGUCUGGUUGACCGUGCCUUCCACCGAUGGGAAUUCACAAAGCCGCGUGUAGGAGUUCAUUGGCACCAGCACUUUCGGGCUCAUACGCGCACCUCGCCAAUGACAUGGCUGUCAUCCCAAGCUCUCGGCCUUACACGACGGGCGGCUCACAGACAACAACGAGUCCAGGCUCAUUACACGGCAGUAGCCCCCCAGCAGCGUACCAACGAUGAGGCAGCACACUGCAUAUUUUUACAAGUAGCGGAAAUCCUAUAUGCGCACAACUAGUACCUGAUGUGGUUAGCUUCAGUUUUUUUAUUUUGGCUCUUGCCUAGAAAGUUCUGUAGCACACUCUAAUUGAUUCUCUCUGUAAUUGAAUAUUUGCAUCGAUUGGUUCACUGGCUUCAAAUAGAAAAAGAAGUUCACCUCGUCCCCAUAUGAAGUUAGCCUAUUUUUAUUUUGGAAGUUUGUUUUGUAUACUGGUAUUUUGUAUUUUGUGAUGCUGCUAGCUAUUUGUUUCAACGAAUUAUUCUGUGAAGUUCCUCUUUAUUUGUUAGGAACUUCGG
Lolium perenne is the source of this 2368-nucleotide non-coding RNA. NCBI's taxonomy places the organism in Eukaryota, Viridiplantae, Streptophyta, Magnoliopsida, Poales, Poaceae. The record is from RefSeq and is a predicted model, not a curated record.